RNAcentral lists this transfer RNA (73 nucleotides) under candidate division NC10 bacterium CSP1-5. Its description in RNAcentral is "tRNA-Val". It matches the Rfam family "tRNA". From Rfam's summary of the family: Transfer RNA (tRNA) molecules are approximately 80 nucleotides in length. Their secondary structure includes four short double-helical elements and three loops (D, anti-codon, and T loops). Further hydrogen bonds mediate the characteristic L-shaped molecular structure. tRNAs have two regions of fundamental functional importance: the anti-codon, which is responsible for specific mRNA codon recognition, and the 3' end, to which the tRNAs corresponding amino acid is attached (by aminoacyl-tRNA synthetases). tRNAs cope with the degeneracy of the genetic code in two manners: having more than one tRNA (with a specific anti-codon) for a particular amino acid; and 'wobble' base-pairing, i.e. permitting non-standard base-pairing at the 3rd anti-codon position. The record is from RNAcentral. Lineage: Bacteria; Methylomirabilota (SeqCode).
GGGCGGUUAGCUCAGCCGGGAGAGCGCUGUCUUCACACGGCAGAGGCCACUGGUUCGAUCCCAGUACCGCCCA